AAUGGAAACAGUAAAGCCAAUAAAGUCAAGUCUUUUCACUACUGCAAAAUAAAGGAGUAAAAAACCAAUGAAAAGAGGAUGGUAUUGGCAAAGAAAGAAAAUGGUAUUACAAAUCGUGUAGAUCCCAUGAAGAAAAAUCCAAUACAUACUAAGUAUUAGAGGGGGCAAAGGAAAUAAAUAUUAGAAUUGACAACUUAGAGUGUAACUUGGAGAGCUCAUGUUAUAGACUUAGAAUUAUUGUAGGA
Molecule: unclassified non-coding RNA, 245 nt
Filed under: Hevea brasiliensis (rubber tree)
Lineage: Eukaryota; Viridiplantae; Streptophyta; Magnoliopsida; Malpighiales; Euphorbiaceae
Source: RNAcentral